GGCGUAAAGCGUGCGCAGGCGGUUUUGUAAGACUGUCGUGAAAUCCCCGGGCUUAACCUGGGAAUGGCGAUGGUGACUGCAAGGCUAGAGUUUGGCAGAGGGGGGUAGAAUUCCACGUGUAGCAGUGAAAUGCGUAGAGAUGUGGAGGAACACCGAUGGCGAAGGCAGCCCCCUGGGUCAAAACUGACGCUCAUGUACGAAAGCGUGGGGAGCAAACAGGAUUAGAUACCCUGGUAGUCCACGCCCUAAACGAUGUCUACUAGUUGUCGGGUCUUAAUUGACUUGGUAACGCAGCUAACGCGUGAAGUAGACCGCCUGGGGAGUACGGUCGCAAGAUUAAAACUCAAAGGAAUUGACGGGGACCCGCACAAGCGGUGGAUGAUGUGGAUUAAUUCGAUGCAACGCGAAAAACCUUACCUACCCUCGACAUGGAAGGAAUCCCCGAGAGAUUGGGGAGUGCCCGAAAGGGAACCUUUACAAGGUGCUGCAUGGUUGUCGUCAGCUCGUGCCGUGAGGUGUCAGGUUAAGUCCUAUAACGAGCGCAACCCCUGUUGUUAGUUGCCAGCGAGUCAUGUCGGGAACUCUAACGAGACUGCCAGUGCAAACUGAGAGGAAGGUGGGGAUGACGUCAAAUCAUCACGGCCCUUACGCCUUGGGCUACACACGUGCUACAAUGGCCGGUACAGAGAGCAGCCACUGGGUGACCAGGAGCGAAUCUAUAAAACCGGUCACAGUUCGGAUCGGAGUCUGCAACUCGACUCCGUGAAGCUGG
This 772-nucleotide ribosomal RNA is filed under the name uncultured Duganella sp. RNAcentral describes it as "partial 16S ribosomal RNA". It matches the Rfam family "Bacterial small subunit ribosomal RNA", at positions 557 to 1329 of the family's 1533-position model. The record is from RNAcentral. Lineage: Bacteria; Pseudomonadati; Pseudomonadota; Betaproteobacteria; Burkholderiales; Oxalobacteraceae.